UCAUGAAGUGGAAUUGGAAACACCGUUACAGUCUUUGGAUCCUCAUCAAGAUGGUAUUGAACUUGUUGAAUAUCAAUUAAAGGAUCUCAUCAUGAUGAUCAUAAUUAUAUAGUUGUCAACGCAAGAAACAGGACUAGAAACCCAUAAAUCUACCUAAAAUCCAAAAGCAAAAUAUGCAAUGCUAUCUAUGUUGCCAUGAAUUCCUUUGACCAGUUUACAAGUGAUGUGAGCAUGUGACACAAGAAAGAAAAUAGGUGAAGUUUGUGGCCUAUUGCUCAGCCAUUUCGACCCAGAAAGUCAGUGACUUGGUUGAGAGAUUGAGAGAAAAAUAAAAAAAUGCUGUAAAGAGUUGUGGGUUUCUCCAACAUUUAUCACCUUAAGAUUGUUGGAGGUUUUUCCUGGAAUCUGAAGAUGUUCAAUUGUGAUCCUCAGAUUUCCGGCAAGCAUCGCGGGUUAGUUAUCCAAGUUAUCUAAAUUGCUGAGCCAAAUCUGGCAGACGCUUCAUUGGACAUCGAACCGAAUGUUUGAUCUAUAUGAUGCUCAAGUCCCUUGACUAAGCAUCUGAGCUAUCUGAUGAUCAGGUGUCUUGACUGAGCAUCCGAGCUAUGCCAAGGGUUCAAGCAUCUUUAACAACUUCUCUCUCUUGACUUCCUUGACCAAACUAUGUCACUCUUUGGUGUUCACAUCAGCACACACCCUCUGAACAAGAGGCAAUAAUCGCACCCCAAUCAGCACUUCCAUAAGUUGCAGCAAUUCCAACUAAGGUCAGAACAGCACUUUUCUUGUGAAUUUUGUGAUGUUGCCAUUUGAUUUCUGGUAGAGGAAUCUUAGAUUGCUGCUUAGAUUCAUUAGUGGGUUUAGCCUUUUCUUCUCUGUACAUAUAUAAAGAUGCAUUGGAGUGAGUUUCAGAAGCCACUACUA
This 921-nucleotide unclassified non-coding RNA is filed under the name Hevea brasiliensis (rubber tree). Lineage: Eukaryota; Viridiplantae; Streptophyta; Magnoliopsida; Malpighiales; Euphorbiaceae. The record is from RNAcentral.